UCCGGUGGUUCUGAAUGGAAGGGCCAUCGCUCAACGGAUAAAAGGUACUCCGGGGAUAACAGGCUGAUACCGCCCAAGAGUUCAUAUCGACGGCGGUGUUUGGCACCUCGAUGUCGGCUCAUCACAUCCUGGGGCUGAAGUAGGUCCCAAGGGUAUGGCUGUUCGCCAUUUAAAGUGGUACGCGAGCUGGGUUUAGAACGUCGUGAGACAGUUCGGUCCCUAUCUGCCGUGGGCGCUGGAGAACUGAGGGGGGCUGCUCCUAGUACGAGAGGACCGGAGUGGACGCAUCACUGGUGUUCGGGUUGUCAUGCCAAUGGCACUGCCCGGUAGCUAAAUGCGGAAGAGAUAAGUGCUGAAAGCAUCUAAGCACGAAACUUGC
Molecule: ribosomal RNA, 379 nt
Filed under: Escherichia coli
Lineage: Bacteria; Pseudomonadati; Pseudomonadota; Gammaproteobacteria; Enterobacterales; Enterobacteriaceae
Description: partial 23S ribosomal RNA
Rfam family: Bacterial large subunit ribosomal RNA
Source: RNAcentral